GUGCCAUUUAAGAGCUCACUACCAGUAGGGAAGGAUCUCUUUCUGGAGAUCCCUCCUUUGGAGUUUUCUGGCAUGCCCAGGACAAGGGUGAGCACUCUAUUUAUUCUCUUUUGGUAUAGUAGUCUGCUUAGCCAAGCUAUAGGUCUUUUUUUAUUAUUUUAUUUAAUGAUGGUGUUAUUGGACUUACCCUAAUGUCAUUGAGCUGGUUUUAAUGACGAAGAUAAGCGACUGGUCCAAAACUACACAACUGCACUGAUGCUCAGAUAGCAAUGGGGACUUGCUUCAUCCAGUGCAGCACACCAUCGCUUUGCAUCACUCAGCUUGCAGUGGGAGAAGAUGAAGAGUGUGAAUGCCCAUAGUUUGGCCCAUCAGCUCAUGAAAUCCACUAGAGUUCUCCCACAAGGAAAUCAGAAACUGAAGGAUAAACCUGCUGAAUGUGCAAACUGCUCUCUGCUCUCCAGGAGCUGUGCAAAGAGAAGCAUACUUCUGUAUAAUGAUUUAUUAUUCUAAAAAUGGCAGUUACUUCUCACUAAAUGAAGAGCUUUGUUUUGUGAGUUAUGUGUACUACUUCUCAUAUUGUUUUCUGAAGAAUCAGACUCAUGAAAAUGAAUGACUUCUGUUAAUUGAAAGGUCUGCUGUACACUAGACAACUAAACAGAGGAUAGCAGCAGCUCUAAUAACUGUGUGACCAUUGUUUAUUUUUCCAAACUGGACACAAAGAGCUUCCCAUUUAGUUUAAUUUACUUGAAAUAACAGUGGUGCAAUAAAGAAUAGUUGUUUGAGUUAUCA
RNAcentral lists this long non-coding RNA (789 nucleotides) under Phasianus colchicus (ring-necked pheasant). RNAcentral's name for it is "lncRNA (ENSPCLG00000005724.1)". Lineage: Eukaryota; Metazoa; Chordata; Aves; Galliformes; Phasianidae. The record is from RNAcentral.